This 328-nucleotide unclassified non-coding RNA is filed under the name uncultured Pseudoalteromonas sp. Its description in RNAcentral is "partial 16S-23S ribosomal RNA intergenic spacer". Lineage: Bacteria; Pseudomonadati; Pseudomonadota; Gammaproteobacteria; Alteromonadales; Pseudoalteromonadaceae. The record is from RNAcentral.
CCUCCUUAUACGAUUUAGAACUUAUUUGUUCGUAGUGUCCACACAGAUGAUUGUUAGUUAGUUUUACCCUUUGGGUUAACUAAUUAAUAUGCUCUUUAAAAAUUUGGAAAAGCUGAUAAUAAAAUUCGUAUGAAUAACAUUGUUAUUUGUACAGAGUUUUCAAAAGUAAAAAAGAAUGAUAGCAGUAUCAUUCAGUGCCAAUUUAAUCCUCGGAUUAAUUGGUAUCUACUUUAGUAUUCAAUAUUAACUUCUGGCGAAGUUAAACUGUCACGAAACAAAGACCCGUUUGGGUUGUAUGGUUAAGUGACUAAGCGUACACGGUGGAUGC